GCGCCCUCCAGGCCUUCCACCUCGACGCCCAAUCCUGGGGCGUCAAUGUGCAGCCCUACUCCGGCUCCCCUGCCAACUUCGCCGCCUACACCGCCGUCCUCAACCCCCACGACCGCAUCAUGGGGCUGGAUCUCCCCUCCGGCGGCCACCUCACCCACGGCUACUACACCUCCGGCGGCAAGAAGAUCUCCGCCACCUCCAUUUACUUCGAGAGCCUCCCUUACAAAGUAAACUCCACCACCGGCUACAUCGACUACGACCGCUUGGAGGAAAAAGCCCUAGACUUCAGGCCCAAAUUGAUAAUCUGCGGUGGCAGCG
Molecule: long non-coding RNA, 318 nt
Filed under: Glycine max (soybean)
Lineage: Eukaryota; Viridiplantae; Streptophyta; Magnoliopsida; Fabales; Fabaceae
Description: long non-coding RNA (GMAX_LNC001094)
Source: RNAcentral